RNAcentral lists this unclassified non-coding RNA (375 nucleotides) under Bombus terrestris (buff-tailed bumblebee). Its description in RNAcentral is "misc RNA ENSBTSG00005030645.1". The record is from RNAcentral. Lineage: Eukaryota; Metazoa; Arthropoda; Insecta; Hymenoptera; Apidae.
AACACUGUGUGAGCGCCAACAUUGAACAAUCUGUAUCUUUUAUAGGAAAGUGUUCUACGUGCUAACGAGAUAUACUAACGUGAUAUAGAAUUUAAAUGCAAUCUUCCUUUCUAAAUAGUUACCAAUGAUGUCACAAUAGAAAUAUUAAAAUAUUAAGCACCAAUGAACAUUAGUUGAUUGUUUCUUGGCUUUUGUCUAUAUCGUCUGCUUAAAUGAAUGAAAUAUUGAGUUUUCUUUACAAAUAAGGGACACCUCUGUCAUAUAUGGGCUUUUCUAUAGACUUUUUUUUUAUGAAUUUCGUUGCAGGCAGACACAUGUCGCAGACAAACAGCAUCUUUCCUGCAAAAUCCACGGACGACGGGAGACAACAUUUAA